GUUUGUGGCUGGUGCAUUUGUGCACAGAUCUGGAAGACUAUAGAUUUAGAAGUUGUUCUUCUGAUGAAGACUGAACAUGGCACAUAACAGAGACACAGGGUAAAAAGGCUUUUUUUGGAAACAUCACAAAUCUUAGGAAUGAGACACCCUCAGCAAGCGUACCUCAGUGUAACAGAUGUCGGUGCGCCAACCCUGUCCUGUGGACAAUAACAAGGUGCAGACAUCCCUCUGUAUCACAAAUGAAGAAGACAUACAGCAGAAGCUGGACGGAGCUUCUCCAUAGAGAAUCCUGUUUGGGAAGCCCUUUCUGCAGAUCCUGAUGCCUUCCAGCACACCGUUACAGCGUAGCUGGUGCAUCACCAGAGGGUUCUCCAUGGCCCCAGGAGUCUUGGUCUCAUUGGGGAUGAUGCAGCGUACAAAGUGAGGACCGUGGACCUCCGUGUGGACUCAAAUCCUGAGUACUGCUUGUCUUCUGACCAGGACAUGACAAAAUAAUGGAAAGAAGAUGCUUGUUACCAGAGAAAGACUGACCCCCACUACUGAUAUGAAGAUAUCUAAAGCCUUGGAAGGACGAGGCCAUGUGAGAUCAAGGUCAACAUGCAGCCCUAAACAAGUGCCAAGCUGAUAUCUACCCUUCACUUUGCUCCAACAGUGUAAGAACUUGAGCAUCAGUUGCUCCUUUAUGUUGCUGCAGGAGAAUGAAGUACGAGUUACUUGGAAGACAAAGGGGACUACAGCACAGGAGAUCCCAAAGGUCUUAGGUGGCCGUCUGUGAGUUUCACUCCUCAUCUAGCCCUUU
Molecule: non-coding RNA, 799 nt
Organism: Epinephelus lanceolatus (giant grouper)
Lineage: Eukaryota; Metazoa; Chordata; Actinopteri; Perciformes; Serranidae
Source: RefSeq, a predicted model, not a curated record